CGGUAAUUCCAGCUCCAAUAGCGUAUAUUAAAGUUGUUGCCGUUAAAAAGCUCGUAGUCGAACUUCGGCCUUUGCCGCCCGGUCCGCCCUAUGGGUGUGUACUGGAGCGGUGGAGGCUUACCUCGUGGUGAACGGCCAUGCUCUUUACUGGGUGUGGUCGGGAACCAUGAUUUUUACUUUGAAAAAAUUAGAGUGUUCAAAGCAGGCUUACGCCCGAAUACAUUAGCAUGGAAUAAUAAAAUAGGACGUGCGGUUCUAUUUUGUUGGUUUCUAGAAUCGCCGUAAUGAUUAAUAGGGAUAGUUGGGGGCAUUCGUAUUCAAUUGCUAGAGGUGAAAUUCUUGGAUUUAUUGAAGACGAACUACUGCGAAAGCAUUUGCCAAGGAUGUUUUCAUUGAUCAAGAACGAAGGUUAGGGGAUCGAAAACGAUCAGAUACCGUUGUAGUCUUAACAGUAAACGAUGCCGACUAGGGAUCGGACGAGGAUUUUUAAUGACUCGUUCGGCACCUGAAGAGAAAUCUUUAAGUCUAGGUUCGGGGGGGAGUAUGGUCGCAAGGCUGAAACUUAAAGGAAUUGACGGAAGGGCACCACCAGGUGUGGAGCCUGCGGCUUAAUUUGACUCAACACGGGGAAACUCACCAGGUCCAGACACGACAAGGAUUGACAGAUUGAUAGCUCUUUCUUGAUUUCGUGGUUGGUGGUGCAUGGCCGUUCUUAGUUGGUGGAGUGAUUUGUCUGGUUAAUCCCGAUAACGAACGAGACCUUAACCUGCUAAAUAGCCCGGCCGACUUUGGUUGGUCGCUGGCUUCUUAGAGGGACUAUCAGCGUUUAGCUGAUGGAAGUUUGAGGCAAUAACAGGUCUGUGAUGCCCUUAGAUGUUCUGGGCCGCACGCGCGCUACACUGACCGAACCAGCGAGUUUAUCACCUUGGCCGGAAGGCCUGGGUAAUCUUGUGAAACUCGGUCGUGAUGGGGAUAGAGCAUUGCAAUUAUUGCUCUUCAACGAGGAAUACCUAGUAAGCGUGAGUCAUCAGCUCGCGUUGAAUUCGUCCCUGCCCUUUGUACACACCGCCCGUCGCUACUACCGAUUGAGUGAUCCGGUGAAUAAUUCGGACGGAACUUUCGGGUAGUUCUACUCGUUAGUUCUGAAAGUCUAGUGAACCUUAUCACUUAGAGGAAGGAGAAGUCGUAACAAGGUAGCCG
Molecule: ribosomal RNA, 1200 nt
Filed under: uncultured eukaryote
Lineage: Eukaryota
Description: SSU rRNA
Rfam family: Eukaryotic small subunit ribosomal RNA
Source: RNAcentral